UAGCUCAGUCUGGUAGAGCGCUACGUUCGGGACGUAGAGGUCGCAGGUUCGAAUCCUG
Molecule: transfer RNA, 58 nt
Filed under: Lysobacter sp.
Lineage: Bacteria; Pseudomonadati; Pseudomonadota; Gammaproteobacteria; Lysobacterales; Lysobacteraceae
Description: tRNA-Pro
Rfam family: tRNA
About the family: Transfer RNA (tRNA) molecules are approximately 80 nucleotides in length.
Source: RNAcentral